RNA transcript from Triticum dicoccoides, 2794 nucleotides. It is a transcript of the gene named isovaleryl-CoA dehydrogenase, mitochondrial, with no coding region annotated. The transcript has 16 exons. The record is from RefSeq and is a predicted model, not a curated record. Lineage: Eukaryota; Viridiplantae; Streptophyta; Magnoliopsida; Poales; Poaceae.
CAGAGGCAGCAGCCGCGGCACUCGAGCAAGCCAGCCACGCUAGUAGUACUAUUACUCUGCUCCAGUCAUCCAUCGUCUCCCUUCCCGGCGAGCGAGCGAGCGAGCGGACGGUCGCCGCCGCGAUGCAGCGCCGGCUGCCGGCACUCCUCCGCCGCGCGGCGGGCGCGGGGCCCGCGCGCCGGUGGCUCUCCGCCGCCUCCUCCCUCCUCUUCGACGACACCCAGGAGCAGUUCAAGGAGAGCGUGCACCGGUUCGCGCAGGAGCACAUCGCGCCGCACGCCGCCGCCAUCGACGCCUCCAACCACUUCCCCAAGGAGGUGAAUCUGUGGAAGCUCAUGGGGGACUUCAACCUGCACGGCCUCACCUCCCCAGAGGAGUACGGAGGGCUCGGGCUCGGUUACAUGUACCACUGCAUCGCCAUGGAGGAGAUCAGCAGGGCGUCCGGGUCGGUCGGCCUUUCCUACGGCGCACACUCAAAUCUGUGCAUCAACCAGUUGGUCCGUCAUGGCAGCCCUGCCCAAAAGGAAAAAUAUUUGCCAAAGCUAAUCAGCGGGGAGCAUAUUGGGGCAUUGGCAAUGAGUGAACCAAACUCUGGCUCUGAUGUUGUCAGUAUGAAGUGCAAAGCUGAGAAAGUAGAUGGCGGCUAUGUCAUUAACGGGAAUAAGAUGUGGUGCACAAAUGGUCCGUCUGCUCAGACACUGGUUGUUUACGCGAAAACAGAUAUAACUGCUGGAUCGAAAGGAAUAACUGCUUUCAUAAUUGAGAAGGGAAUGCCAGGGUUCAGUACUGCCCAGAAGUUGGACAAACUUGGCAUGCGAGGAAGUGAUACAUGUGAGCUUGUCUUUGAGAAUUGCUUUGUGCCUCAAGAGAAUGUUCUUGGUGAAGAAGGGAAAGGUGUUUAUGUCAUGAUGUCUGGUCUUGAUCUGGAAAGACUUGUAUUAGCUGGGGGCCCUAUUGGGCUCAUGCAGGCAUGCCUUGAUGUUAUUCUUCCUUAUGUUCGACAAAGGGAGCAAUUCGGCCGUCCGAUUGGUGAAUUUCAGUUCUUACAGGGGAAAAUGGCAGAUAUGUACACCUCCUUGCAAUCAUCAAGAUCAUUUGUAUACUCAGUUGCUAGGGACUGUGAUAAUGGCAAAGUUGACCGUAAGGAUUGUGCAGGAGUGAUCCUCUUUGCUGCUGAAAGGGCAACACAAGUUGCACUUGAGGCAAUCCAGUGUCUUGGUGGCAAUGGAUACAUAAAUGAGUACCCAACUGGCCGUCUCCUGAGGGAUGCAAAACUGUUCGAGAUUGGGGCGGGUACUAGUGAGAUCAGAAGAAUGAUAAUUGGCCGUGAGCUGUUUAAAGAGGACUGAGAUUAUUCUUCUGGAAGCCAGCUUGUCAGUGCAUGUUCUAACUUGAGGAGGUGAUCUGCAAGUGAACCUAAGGCCAUGUACUCGUACACCAGUAGCCGCUGAUCUCCGUCUGCGCAAUAGCCUACCAAGCUGACCAGGUUUGGAUGGUGCAAGAGGCUGAGCAUCAAGACUUCAACCAGGAACUCACGGUUGCCUUGAAAUCCAUUCAGGUCUAGUUGUUUGACAGCUACAAUCUGAUCAUGCAUCAAAAAGAUAAUUGAAACAAUGAGCAGAUUGUUACAAGUCAGUAGGGCUAUCUGAAGAAUGUUUGUCAUUGGGUUGUUCCUAUAUAUACCUGGCCAUUUUCAAGCUGUCCCUUGUAGACCCUGCCAAAGCCCCCCUCUCCCAGAAGGUAGUCGGAGCGGAAGUUCUUGGUGGCUGUCGCUAACUCACGGUAUGUGAAUGCUUUUGCAUUUUUGGCCAUGCUAGACCUUUCGGCAGGUUCACCGUUUGCUCUUGUUUCGGAUGAUUGCCCAUGUUUUGGAGCCUCUGCAAGGUGAGUUUUCAGUAUUUGUUAGAGAGAACUCCAUUUUGUGCUUAUUUGAAGGAUCUUAGUUUUGCUCUCGACAAAAUUCAAACAGUCUGCUGCAAUAGUCUGGGGUCCAUAUUUAAAUACCAUUGUGGCCCAUCAUGCAUUAUUACCAGAAUUCAACAUGCAUUACAGGGACAAGCAUGGCAACAAGAUGGAUUUGACAAAUGGUACAAAACGAAUCCUCCGUGGUCCUUACCAGAUUCCAUGAGGGGUGCUCCAGAUCGCGUCGAGACGGUGGCAUUUGCGACGGCGGAGGUGGCGACCUCCCCUGACCCCGUCUUCCUCGGCGACGUCUUCUUCUCAGGCCUGAAGCAUGAAAAGCAUUUCACGGUCCGAAUUCCCCAACGCAUGUGCCUCUCAACCAAACCUCCUCCUUGUGCCCACCACGAGAUCUCCAACCCCUCUGCUCUUUACAAUCCAGAAGACUCUUUGCACAUGCAAUGGCAGCAUGGACGAGGAGUUCUCCUCCCUUGCUGCAAGAUCCUGGUCACAGAUUGCCAUCGCACUCAUCUUGCAAGAAGAAUGCGAUCCCUGUGGAGGGGAUGUGAUCAGGUAGGAGGAGCAUUGUCACCGUGCCUUUUGUGGAGGUCAAUGUGCUCAGCCAAGAAUAGGAUCUCUCUCGGUUUUAGGCCACAGUUGAGCUCUAAAAUUAGAACGCCUGCCCCUCUGAAGAUCAGCAUCCUCUGGAAUGCACUGGAUGUAAACGCCUUCCAUCAUUCCCUGAAUUUUCUCAUUUGUUGGCCCCAUGGUUGGUAUUCCACAAGGGGAAAUGGCCUGCUCACUGUUUGUGUCCCUGUUGUUGGAAUAGUGGAAAGAAAAAGGGCACCCUAUGUCAUAUGCCACUUCAAUUAUGUCGCUUCUAGCAGAUGCUUCA